GCUGGGCGUGGUGGCCCUUGCCUAUAAUCCUGGCUACUCAGGAGGCCGAGGCAAGAGGAUCACAAGUUGGAGCCCAGAUUGGAUAAUUUGGGUAAUUUAGUGAGAUUCUGUUUCAA
RNAcentral lists this small RNA (116 nucleotides) under Marmota monax (woodchuck). The record is from RNAcentral. Lineage: Eukaryota; Metazoa; Chordata; Mammalia; Rodentia; Sciuridae.